Molecule: ribosomal RNA, 450 nt
Filed under: uncultured bacterium
Lineage: Bacteria
Description: partial 16S ribosomal RNA
Rfam family: Bacterial small subunit ribosomal RNA
Source: RNAcentral
CCUACGGGGGGCUGCAGUAGGGAAUAUUGGGCAAUGGACGCAAGUCUGACCCAGCCACGCCGCGUGAAGGAUGACUGCCCUAUGGGUUGUAAACUUCUUUUGUAUGGGAAGAAACCUCCGAACGUGUUCGGAGCUGACGGUACCAUAAGCAUAAGCAUCGGCUAACUCCGUGCCAGCAGCCGCGGUAAUACGGAGGAUGCAAGCGUUGUCCGGAUUAAUGGGGUUUAAAGGGGGCAAAGACGGCAGAUUAGAAAUCUCGCAGCUUAACUGUGGAAAUGCCAUUGAAGCUGAUUUUCUUGAGUUCGAUUGAGGUAGAUGGAAUGUAUCAUGUAGCGGUGAAAUGCUUAGAUAUGAUACAGAACACCAAUUGCGAAGGCAGUCUACUAAGUAGAUACUGACGCUGAGGCACGAAAGCAUGGGGAGCAAACAGGAUUAGAUACCCCUGUAGUC